RNAcentral lists this ribosomal RNA (710 nucleotides) under uncultured bacterium. RNAcentral describes it as "bacterial SSU rRNA". It matches the Rfam family "Archaeal small subunit ribosomal RNA", at positions 725 to 1442 of the family's 1478-position model. The record is from RNAcentral.
AGGAUUAGAUACCCGGGUAGUCCCAGCUGUAAACGAUGCAGGCUAGGUGUUUGGACGGCCACGUGCCGUUCUAGUGCCGCAGGGAAGCUGUUAAGCCUGCCGCCUGGGGAGUACGGUCGCAAGAUUGAAACUUAAAGGAAUUGGCGGGGGAGCACCACAAGGGGUGAAGCUUGCGGUUUAAUUGGAGUCAACGCCGGAAAUCUCACCGGGAGCGACAGCAGUAUGAAAGCCAGAUUGAAGGUCUUGCUAGACGAGCUGAGAGGAGGUGCAUGGCCGUCGCCAGUUCGUGCCGUGAGGUGUCCUGUUAAGUCAGGCAACGAUCGAGACCCGCGUCCUCUGUUGCAACCAGCUUUGAGCUGGGCACACUGAGGAGACCGCCACUGAUAAAGUGGAGGAAGGAGCGGGCCACGGCAGGUCAGUAUGCCCCGAAUCUCCCGGGCCACACGCGAGCUGCAAUGGCAAGUACAAUGGGUUCCGACCUCGAAAGGGGGAGGCAAUCUCGAAAGCUUGCCGUAGUUGGAAUUGAGGGUUGAAACCCACCCUCAUGAACAUGGAAUCCCUAGUAAUCGCGUGUCAUUAGCGCGCGGUGAAUACGUCCCUGCUCCUUGCACACACCGCCCGUCGUUCCAUCCGAGUGACUCUUGGGUGAGGUACCGUCUAAUUGGCGGCAUCGAAUCUAAGUUUCACAAGGAGGGAAAAGUCGUAACAAG